This 252-nucleotide ribosomal RNA is filed under the name uncultured bacterium. RNAcentral's name for it is "partial 16S ribosomal RNA". It matches the Rfam family "Bacterial small subunit ribosomal RNA", at positions 524 to 776 of the family's 1533-position model. The record is from RNAcentral.
UACGGAGGGUGCAAGCGUUAUCCGGAUUCACUGGGUUAAAGGGUGCGUAGGCGGCGCGGUAAGUCGGGUGUGAAAUCUCGGGGCUUAACUCCGAAACUGCAUUCGAUACUACCGUGCUUGAGGACUGGAGAGGAGACUGGAAUUUACGGUGUAGCGGUGAAAUGCGUAGAUAUCGUAAGGAAGACCAGUGGCGAAGGCGGGUCUCUGGACAGUUCCUGACGCUGAGGCACGAAGGCCAGGGGAGCAAACGGG